GACGAACGCUGGCGGCGUGCCUAAUACAUGCAAGUCGAACGAACUCUGGUAUUGAUUGGUGCUUGCAUCAUGAUUUACAUUUGAGUGAGUGGCGAACUGGUGAGUAACACGUGGGAAACCUGCCCAGAAGCGGGGGAUAACACCCGGAAACAGAUGCUAAUACCGCAUAACAACUUGGACCGCAUGGUCCGAGUUUGAAAGAUGGCUUUGGCUGUCACUUUUGG
Molecule: ribosomal RNA, 224 nt
Filed under: uncultured bacterium
Lineage: Bacteria
Description: partial 16S ribosomal RNA
Rfam family: Bacterial small subunit ribosomal RNA
Source: RNAcentral